RNAcentral lists this ribosomal RNA (255 nucleotides) under uncultured bacterium. RNAcentral describes it as "partial 16S ribosomal RNA". It matches the Rfam family "Bacterial small subunit ribosomal RNA", at positions 524 to 776 of the family's 1533-position model. The record is from RNAcentral.
UACAGAGGUCUCAAGCGUUGUUCGGAUUCAUUGGGCGUAAAGAGCUCGUAGGCGGCCUGUCGCGUCGGAUGUGAAAGCCCGGGGCUUAACCCCGGGUUUGCAUUCGAUACGGGCAGGCUAGAGUGUGGUAGGGGAGAUCGGAAUUCCUGGUGUAGCGGUGAAAUGCGCAGAUAUCAGGAGGAACACCGGUGGCGAAGGCGGAUCUCUGGGCCAUUGACUGACGCUGAGGAGCGAAAAGCGUGGGGAGCGAACAGG